RNAcentral lists this ribosomal RNA (609 nucleotides) under uncultured bacterium. RNAcentral's name for it is "bacterial SSU rRNA". It matches the Rfam family "Bacterial small subunit ribosomal RNA", at positions 529 to 1143 of the family's 1533-position model. The record is from RNAcentral.
AGGAUGCGAGCGUUAUCCGGAUUCAUUGGGUUUAAAGGGUGCGUAGGGGGAAUUGUAAGUCAGGGGUGAAAGUUUGCGGCUCANCCGUAAAAUUGCCUUUGAUACUGCAGUUCUUGAGUAAACGCGAGGUAUGCGGAAUGAGUAGUGUAGCGGUGAAAUGCAUAGAUAUUACUCAGAACACCGAUUGCGAAGGCAGCAUACCAGAGUUUAACUGACGCUGAUGCACGAAAGCGUGGGUAGCGAACAGGAUUAGAUACCCUGGUAGUCCACGCCGUAAACGAUGGUCACUAGCUGUAUGCGAUACAAAGUAUGUGGCAAAGCGAAAGCAUUAAGUGACCCACCUGGGGAGUACGUUGGCAACGAUGAAACUCAAAGGAAUUGACGGGGGCCCGCACAAGCGGUGGAACAUGUGGUUUAAUUCGAUGAUACGCGAGGAACCUUACCCGGGCUUAAAUGCAGGCUGCAUAGUACAGAGAUGUACUUUUCUUCGGACUGCUUGCAAGGUGCUGCAUGGUUGUCGUCAGCUCGUGCCGUGAGGUGUCGGGUUAAGUCUCAUAACGAGCGCAACACCUAUUAUUAGUUCACAUCAGGUAAAACUGGGGAGUCUAA